RNAcentral lists this ribosomal RNA (557 nucleotides) under uncultured eukaryote. RNAcentral describes it as "SSU rRNA". It matches the Rfam family "Eukaryotic small subunit ribosomal RNA", at positions 4 to 565 of the family's 1831-position model. The record is from RNAcentral.
CUGGUUGAUCCUGCCAGUAGUCAUAGAAGGGCUCAAAGAUUAAGCCAUGCAUGUCUAAGUAUAAGCAAUUUAUACAGUGAAACUGCGAAUGGCUCAUUAAAUCAAUUAUCGUUUAUUUGAUAGUACCUUACUACUUGGAUAACCGUGGUAAUUCUAGAGCUAAUACAUGCUUAAAAUCCCGACUGUUUGGAAGGGAUGUAUUUAUUAGAUAAAAAAUCAAUGUCUUCGGACUCUUUGAUGAUUCAUAAUAACUUUUCGAAUCGCAUGGCCUUGUGCUGGCGAUGGUUCAUUCAAAUUUCUGCCCUAUCAACUUUCGAUGGUAGGAUAGUGGCCUACCAUGGUUUCAACGGGUAACGGGGAAUAAGGGUUCGAUUCCGGAGAGGGAGCCUGAGAAACGGCUACCACAUCCAAGGAAGGCAGCAGGCGCGCAAAUUACCCAAUCCCGACACGGGGAGGUAGUGACAAUAAAUAACGAUACAGGGCCCUUUCGGGUCUUGUAAUUGGAAUGAGUACAAUGUAAAUACCUUAACGAGGAACAAUUGGAGGGCAAGUCUGGU